UCGGAGCAGCAGCAGCCCUGGUCCAUCGCGUGUGCAGAGAAGAAAUCACGAUGAGGCGAGCGCUUCCCGUCCUCCUCACAAUCAGCCUCGCGGCUUGCGCCGCACAAACAUCUGACAAUGAGACCGACGACUACAUUCCAGCUCCGUAUUUUGACGACGGAGAAAACUUGAGUAGCCAGAACUGUGGAAACGAAUCAACUCUGAAUCAAUCGACCGUUUUUAUUAGAAACAUACGGACUGGAAAACAUUGCUCUCCAUACAUAGCUAUUUCUCAAAGGACUAUUCUUGGAAUUGGUUAUUGCAGUAUGAAUAAAAGUGAUACAACUGACAUACGGGUCUUUCCAACAUUUUGUUUUUGGCGAACAAAACAAGAGGAAUGCAUCAGAUUUUCCGUUAAAGUGCUGGAUGUAAUUGACAUUGCCGUAAACCCGACAUCUGAUUUAAAAUUCACGAUUGUGAUAACCGAGGAAAUGCGGAAGUAAGGCCGUAAAUCCCAUUUGUUUGUUUAACCGCGACAACGUAAUGGACUUGCAACUUCAAAGGGAAUCACCCUACUUUCA
Long non-coding RNA from Cloeon dipterum, 560 nucleotides. RefSeq lists it as uncharacterized. The transcript has 4 exons. The record is from RefSeq and is a predicted model, not a curated record. NCBI's taxonomy places the organism in Eukaryota, Metazoa, Arthropoda, Insecta, Ephemeroptera, Baetidae.